Molecule: ribosomal RNA, 163 nt
Filed under: uncultured bacterium
Lineage: Bacteria
Description: partial 16S rRNA
Rfam family: Bacterial small subunit ribosomal RNA
Source: RNAcentral
UAGGGAAUCUUCCACAAUGGGCGAAAGCCUGAUGGAGCAACGCCGCGUGUGUGAUGAAGGGUUCCGGCUCGUAAACACUGUUGUAAGAGAAGAAUGACAUUGAGAGUAACUGUUCAAUGUGUGACGGUAUCUUACCAGAAAGGAACGGCUAAAUACGUGCCGG